RNAcentral lists this unclassified non-coding RNA (338 nucleotides) under soil metagenome. RNAcentral's name for it is "partial contains 5.8S ribosomal RNA, internal transcribed spacer 2, and large subunit ribosomal RNA". The stretch from base 1 to 120 matches the Rfam family "5.8S ribosomal RNA", at positions 35 to 154 of the family's 154-position model. The record is from RNAcentral.
GAUGAAGAACGUAGCGAAAUGCGAUAAGUAAUGUGAAUUGCAGAAUUCAGUGAAUCAUCGAAUCUUUGAACACACAUUGCGCCCGGUAGUAUUCUGCCGGGCAUGCCUGUUCGAGCGUCAUUUCAACCAUCAAGCCCCAGCGCUUGUGUUGGGGGCCUGCGGCUGCCGCAGCCCCCCAAAAGCAGUGGCGGGCUCGCUAUCACACCGAGUGCAGUAGUUCAUCUUCUCUCCGGUCUUGUGAGGCGGGUUCCGGCCGUGAAACACCCCACUACAUUCAAGGUUGACCUCGGAUCAGGUAGGAAUACCCGCUGAACUUAAGCAUAUCAAUAAGCGGAGGA